Molecule: non-coding RNA, 616 nt
Organism: Prunus avium (sweet cherry)
Lineage: Eukaryota; Viridiplantae; Streptophyta; Magnoliopsida; Rosales; Rosaceae
Source: RefSeq, a predicted model, not a curated record
CUCGAACAUCUCGAUUUUCGGUGUGCUUGAAUAUGAGCCUGUUAAGUUUGUGCCGAGCCCAAAUAAGAUAUCAAAUGCUGAACAAUACAAGCAGGUGCGCGACCCCUUAUUUGGAAAUUUGAGUGAGAAAGCUGCAGCAGGGAACUCUGUUUUAAAAUUUGCAGCAGGGAAUGCGUUGGUGCCUUUAACAAAUCAAACUAUAUAUGCAACUGUCCAGUGCAGCCCUGAUUUGAACGAACAAAACUGCAGCGAUUGCCUUAAAGAGUCCAUCCCAAAUAUUACAGAGUGUUGUGGUGGUGUGGGUGGAGGAAGAGUUCUUAGACCCAGCUGUUAUUUGAGGUUUGAGUCCAAUCCUUUCUGAGUCUGGAGCAGAUACCCUAAUAAACCUUCCAAGGAAAUAAUACGAGUAUCAUUACAAUAAAAGUGUCGCCACCGUCGUUCUGACAAUUGGUAUUGUCAUUAUGCUUGUGAGAGUCUGGAAGCGAAGCAGGGCAAGAAAGUUUAUUCAAUUUUGUUUUAUUACAAUUUUGAAUUUAACAAGGGCACUCUUCGUUUGUUGGUCCUUGAAUUUGUCAAGACCCAUGUAAUAGGGUUUUGCUUUGUAGUGUUCCUUUUC